UCCUCCUUAGCUCAGUUGGUAGAGAGCGUCACUCGUACGAUGUUGCAAUGACGAGGUCAGUCGUUCAAGUCGGCUAGGGGGAA
This 83-nucleotide transfer RNA is filed under the name Lentinula boryana. RNAcentral describes it as "tRNA-Thr". The record is from RNAcentral. Lineage: Eukaryota; Fungi; Basidiomycota; Agaricomycetes; Agaricales; Omphalotaceae.